This 273-nucleotide ribosomal RNA is filed under the name uncultured bacterium. Its description in RNAcentral is "partial 16S ribosomal RNA". It matches the Rfam family "Bacterial small subunit ribosomal RNA", at positions 524 to 796 of the family's 1533-position model. The record is from RNAcentral.
UACGUAGGGGGCAAGCGUUGUCCGGAUUUAUUGGGCGUAAAGCGCUCGCAGGUGGCCCGUCGCGUCGUGCGUGAAAGCCCCCGGCUCAACUGGGGAGUGUCGUGCGAUACGGGCGGGCUGGAGGCCAGUAGGGGGAUGCGGAAUUCCGGGUGUAGUGGUGGAAUGCGUAGAGAUCCGGAGGAACACCAGCGGCGAAGGCGGCAUCCUGGACUGGUCCUGACACUCAGGAGCGAAAGCGUGGGGAGCGAUCCGGAUUAGAUACCCGCGUAGUCC